GGGUUGUGAGGUUAAGCGACUAAGCGUACACGGUGGAUGCCCUGGCAGUCAGAGGCGAUGAAGGACGUGCUAAUCUGCGAUAAGCGUCGGUAAGGUGAUAUGAACCGUUAUAACCGGCGAUUUCCGAAUGGGGAAACCCAGUGUGUUUCGACACACU
RNAcentral lists this ribosomal RNA (157 nucleotides) under Escherichia coli. Its description in RNAcentral is "partial 23S ribosomal RNA". It matches the Rfam family "Bacterial large subunit ribosomal RNA", at positions 1 to 149 of the family's 2925-position model. Lineage: Bacteria; Pseudomonadati; Pseudomonadota; Gammaproteobacteria; Enterobacterales; Enterobacteriaceae. The record is from RNAcentral.